UGGAGUCGAGAGCACAGACAGGAUUGAACGGACGGAUUAGCAGAAGCAGCAGCAGCAGCAGGAUCUUUUUUUACCUCGACCAAGAUAUUUCUUCAGUGUCACUGUUCUGCACAGCAAAAGUGCGCUGCUGUCCCUGGGAAGAAGCCUGAAACGUGGACACUCACCUUCAAUUAAAGGGGAUGAUCAGCUGUCAGGCGCGGGGGAUCGCCUUUUGCUGCUGCUGCUGAAGCAGAGGGGGGAAUGCACGGACGUGAGAAGAACCCCUUGAAAACCCCCCAUCAGCACGUCAUGGAACAUUUGCAGGAGAGGGACCACCCACUUUAAAGGCGUGCAACAGAGAGCAGACACAACAGUGAGCUGUGGCCUGUACUGAACUCACC
Long non-coding RNA from Solea solea (common sole), 380 nucleotides. RefSeq lists it as uncharacterized. The record is from RefSeq and is a predicted model, not a curated record. Lineage: Eukaryota; Metazoa; Chordata; Actinopteri; Pleuronectiformes; Soleidae. The transcript has 3 exons.